GAAAGCAAAUGCCAAUAGAAAAGAAGUCAAAACCCUCCAAACACAGAGACAAAUAGAUGGAAAGAAUCUGAGAGAAAAUUGAAGACCAAGAAAGCUCCACCCAAUCAAACAAGUUAAAACAAUCCUGACCCCAACAGGGUCAGUAGUGUCAGAAGGAUGCUUGGAAACUCAUUCACACCUGUCUCUGAAAAGCUUGGGAGGAAGUCAAUGCUUCUGGCUUCGGCUAUUAAGAAAAGUCCCUUGACUGAAAAACAAGCACGCUCUCCUGCCCCCUGCUGGUGAAAGUGCUUAUGUCCAGCGAUUGUGUUCGCAUAAGUGAUUAAGCUACAAGAACAGCCAACUACAUUUUAGUUUAACGCCAACCCAAUCCAUGUGGUUAGUUUAUGAUUCAGCAUGUUGUGCAAACCCAGAAAAUCUCAUUAAUUCCCUACAAUUAUAAUUAAGUUACCCCUGGGUAACAGAGCACUGCCAUAGCCAUCACUGUGGAUUCCUUCUGAUGCUCAAACUGUUUUCCAAAAAUCUUAGCAUCUGAGCAACUGUUACUGUGCAUGGGAUCUCAAUUUCCCAAGCUUCUCCCAUAUGUAAAUUUUUAGCGGAGCACAAGAAUAACUGGUGGAGUGCCUCGUCCCACCACUCAGAAGCAGCAUUUAGGGCCAAGGUGCCACUACCUGGAGUGGUUUAGGAUUACUAGGAGACAGUGGACUCAGCAUCAGCAAACAUGGAAGCUCUUGAGAAGGUUGGAAUCACAGCAAAGAUUUGUCAGUCCAACACCACAAGGAAGAAGGGGCAGGAAAAAGACACCCAAGGAGAAUGGAUGAGCCAGAGCUAUGUGUGGCAGUAAAAAAAAAA
This is a long non-coding RNA of Crotalus tigris (Tiger rattlesnake), 849 nucleotides long. RefSeq lists it as uncharacterized. The record is from RefSeq and is a predicted model, not a curated record. NCBI's taxonomy places the organism in Eukaryota, Metazoa, Chordata, Lepidosauria, Squamata, Viperidae. The transcript has 3 exons.